This 1468-nucleotide ribosomal RNA is filed under the name metagenome. Its description in RNAcentral is "bacterial SSU rRNA". It matches the Rfam family "Bacterial small subunit ribosomal RNA". The record is from RNAcentral.
AGAGUUUGAUCCUGGCUCAGGACGAACGCUGGCGGCACACUUAACACAUGCAAGUCGAACGAGAGAAGAGGAGCUUGCUUUUCUGAUCUAGUGGCGGACGGGUGAGUAACACGUGAGCAAUCUGCCUUUCAGAGGGGGAUACCGAUUGGAAACGAUCGUUAAUACCGCAUAACAUAAUUGAACCGCAUGAUUUGAUUAUCAAAGAUUUAUCGCUGAAAGAUGAGCUCGCGUCUGAUUAGCUAGUUGGUAAGGUAACGGCUUACCAAGGCGACGAUCAGUAGCCGGACUGAGAGGUUGAUUGGCCACAUUGGGACUGAGACACGGCCCAGACUCCUACGGGAGGCAGCAGUGGGGAAUGUUGCACAAUGGAGGAAACUCUGAUGCAGCGAUGCCGCGUGAGGGAAGAAGGUUUUAGGAUUGUAAACCUCUGUCUUCAGGGACGAAAAAAGACGGUACCUGAGGAGGAAGCUCCGGCUAACUACGUGCCAGCAGCCGCGGUAAUACGUAGGGAGCGAGCGUUGUCCGGAAUUACUGGGUGUAAAGGGAGCGUAGGCGGGAUCGCAAGUCAGAUGUGAAAACUAUGGGCUUAACCCAUAAACUGCAUUUGAAACUGUGGUUCUUGAGUGAAGUAGAGGUAAGCGGAAUUCCUAGUGUAGCGGUGAAAUGCGUAGAUAUUAGGAGGAACAUCAGUGGCGAAGGCGGCUUACUGGGCUUUAACUGACGCUGAGGCUCGAAAGCGUGGGGAGCAAACAGGAUUAGAUACCCUGGUAGUCCACGCCGUAAACGAUGAUUACUAGGUGUGGGGGGACUGACCCCUUCCGUGCCGCAGCAAACGCAAUAAGUAAUCCACCUGGGGAGUACGACCGCAAGGUUGAAACUCAAAGGAAUUGACGGGGGCCCGCACAAGCAGUGGAGUAUGUGGUUUAAUUCGACGCAACGCGAAGAACCUUACCAAGUCUUGACAUCCCUUGACGAUGCUGGAAACAGUAUUUCUCUUCGGAGCAAGGAGACAGGUGGUGCAUGGUUGUCGUCAGCUCGUGUCGUGAGAUGUUGGGUUAAGUCCCGCAACGAGCGCAACCCUUAUGGUCAGUUACUACGCAAGAGGACUCUGGCCAGACUGCCGUUGACAAAACGGAGGAAGGUGGGGAUGACGUCAAAUCAUCAUGCCCUUUAUGACUUGGGCUACACACGUACUACAAUGGCGUUAAACAAAGAGAAGCAAGACCGCGAGGUGGAGCAAAACUCAGAAACAACGUCCCAGUUCGGACUGCAGGCUGCAACUCGCCUGCACGAAGUCGGAAUUGCUAGUAAUCGUGGAUCAGCAUGCCACGGUGAAUACGUUCCCGGGCCUUGUACACACCGCCCGUCACACCAUGAGAGCCGGGGGGACCCGAAGUCGGUAGUCUAACCGCAAGAAGGACGCCGCCGAAGGUAAAACUGGUGAUUGGGGUGAAGUCGUAACAAGGUA